GAUGAACGCUGGCGGCGUGCCUAAUACAUGCAAGUCGAGCGAACAGAUGAGGCGCUUGCUCCUCUCACGUUAGCGGCGGACGGGUAAGUAACACGUGGAUAACCUACCUAUAAGACUUGGAUAACUUCGGGAAACCGGAGCUAAUACCGGAUAAUAUAUUGAACCGCAUGGUUCAAUAGUGAAAGACGGUUUUGCUGUCACUUAUAGAUGGAUCCUCGCCGCAUUAGCUAGUUGGUACGGUAACGGCUUACCAAGGCAGCGAUGCGUAGCCGACCUGAGAGGGUGUAGGGCGACUGUGAGAGUGAGAGACGAUACAGAGACCUACGGGAGGCAGAAGUAGGGAAGCGUGCGAGAUGGGGGGAAGACUGACGGAGGGACGCAGCGUGAGUGAUGAAGGUCUGCGGAGCGGAAAACUCUGUUAUGAGGGAAGAACAAAUGUGUAAGGAACGAUGCACGUCUUGACGGUACCUAAUCAGAAAGCCACGGCUAACUACGUG
This 497-nucleotide ribosomal RNA is filed under the name uncultured bacterium. RNAcentral describes it as "partial 16S ribosomal RNA". It matches the Rfam family "Bacterial small subunit ribosomal RNA", at positions 28 to 507 of the family's 1533-position model. The record is from RNAcentral.